This 23-nucleotide non-coding RNA is filed under the name Mus musculus (house mouse). Lineage: Eukaryota; Metazoa; Chordata; Mammalia; Rodentia; Muridae. The record is from RNAcentral.
UGGAUUCAGGAAGCCCGGGGUUC